GAUGAAGAACGCAGCGAAAUGCGAUAAGUAAUGUGAAUUGCAGAAUUCAGUGAAUCAUCGAAUCUUUGAACGCACAUUGCGCCCCUUGGUAUUCCGAGGGGCAUGCCUGUUCGAGCGUCAUUAUAACCCCUCAAGCUCAGCUUGGUGUUGGGGCCUGCUGCACUGGCAGCCCUUAAAAUCAGUGGCGGCGCCAUCUGGCUCUAAGCGUAGUAAUUCUUCUCGCUAUGGAGUCCUGGUGGAUGCUUGCCAUCAACCCCCAAUUUUUCUAUGGUUGACCUCGGAUCAGGUAGGGAUACCCGCUGAACUUAAGCAUAUCAAAAGCGGAGGA
RNAcentral lists this unclassified non-coding RNA (328 nucleotides) under soil metagenome. Its description in RNAcentral is "partial contains 5.8S ribosomal RNA, internal transcribed spacer 2, and large subunit ribosomal RNA". The stretch from base 1 to 120 matches the Rfam family "5.8S ribosomal RNA", at positions 35 to 154 of the family's 154-position model. The record is from RNAcentral.